RNAcentral lists this ribosomal RNA (901 nucleotides) under uncultured bacterium. Its description in RNAcentral is "bacterial SSU rRNA". It matches the Rfam family "Bacterial small subunit ribosomal RNA", at positions 33 to 893 of the family's 1533-position model. The record is from RNAcentral.
ACGCUGGCGGCGUGCCUAAUACAUGCAAGUCGAGCGAGCUUGCCUAGAUGAAUUUGGUGCUUGCACCAAAUGAAACUAGAUACAAGCGAGCGGCGGACGGGUGAGUAACACGUGGGUAACCUGCCCAAGAGACUGGGAUAACACCUGGAAACAGAUGCUAAUACCGGAUAACAACACUAGACGCAUGUCUAGAGUUUAAAAGAUGGUUCUGCUAUCACUCUUGGAUGGACCUGCGGUGCAUUAGCUAGUUGGUAAGGUAACGGCUUACCAAGGCAAUGAUGCAUAGCCGAGUUGAGAGACUGAUCGGCCACAUUGGGACUGAGACACGGCCCAAACUCCUACGGGAGGCAGCAGUAGGGAAUCUUCCACAAUGGACGCAAGCCUGAUGGAGCAACGACGCGUGAGUGAAGAAGGGUUUCGGCUCGUAAAGCUCUGUUGGUAGUGAAGAAAGAUAGAGGUAGUAACUGGCCUUUAUUUGACGGUAAUUACUUAGAAAGUCACGGCUAACUACGUGCCAGCAGCCGCGGUAAUACGUAGGUGGCAAGCGUUGUCCGGAUUUAUUGGGCGUAAAGCGAGUGCAGGCGGUUCAAUAAGUCUGAUGUGAAAGCCUUCGGCUCAACCGGAGAAUUGCAUCAGAAACUGUUGAACUUGAGUGCAGAAGAGGAGAGUGGAACUCCAUGUGUAGCGGUGGAAUGCGUAGAUAUAUGGAAGAACACCAGUGGCGAAGGCGGCUCUCUGGUCUGCAACUGACGCUGAGGCUCGAAAGCAUGGGUAGCGAACAGGAUUAGAUACCCUGGUAGUCCAUGCCGUAAACGAUGAGUGCUAAGUGUUGGGAGGUUUCCGCCUCUCAGUGCUGCAGCUAACGCAUUAAGCACUCCGCCUGGGGAGUACGACCGCAAGG